Molecule: ribosomal RNA, 465 nt
Filed under: uncultured bacterium
Lineage: Bacteria
Description: bacterial SSU rRNA
Rfam family: Bacterial small subunit ribosomal RNA
Source: RNAcentral
CCUACGGGCCGCACCAGUGGGGAAUAUCGCACAAUGGGCGCAAGCCUGAUGCAGCCAUGCCGCGUGUAUGAAGAAGGCCUUCGGGUUGUAAAGUACUUUCAGCGGGGAGGAAGGCGAUAAGGUUAAUAACCUUGCCGAUUGACGUUACCCGCAGAAGAAGCACCGGCUAACUCCGCGCCAGCAGCCGCGGUAAUACGGAGGGUGCAAGCGUUAAUCGGAAUUACUGGGCGUAAAGCGCACGCAGGCGGUCUGUCAAGUCGGAUGUGAAAUCCCCGGGCUCAACCUGGGGACUGCAUUCGAAACUGGCAGGCUAGAGUCUUGUAGAGGGGGGUAGAAUUCCAGGUGUAGCGGUGAAAUGCGUAGAGAUCUGGAGGAAUACCGGUGGCGAAGGCGGCCCCCUGGACAUAGACUGACGCUCAGGUGCGAAAGCGUGGGGAGCAAACAGGAUUAGAUACCCUAGUAGUC